RNAcentral lists this transfer RNA (70 nucleotides) under Paenibacillus polymyxa SC2. It matches the Rfam family "tRNA". Rfam says of the family: Transfer RNA (tRNA) molecules are approximately 80 nucleotides in length. RNAcentral also lists the same sequence under 1 other name. The record is from Rfam by way of RNAcentral. Lineage: Bacteria; Bacillati; Bacillota; Bacilli; Caryophanales; Paenibacillaceae.
UACACAGUAGCUUAAUUAAAGUGCCCGCCUUUCACGCGGGAGAAUGAAGGUCUCAAUCCUUUCUGUGUAU